RNAcentral lists this ribosomal RNA (201 nucleotides) under uncultured bacterium. RNAcentral describes it as "partial 16S ribosomal RNA". It matches the Rfam family "Bacterial small subunit ribosomal RNA", at positions 1300 to 1500 of the family's 1533-position model. The record is from RNAcentral.
GCAGGCUGCAACUCGCCUGCAUGAAGCUGGAAUUGCUAGUAAUCGCGGAUCAGCAAGCCGCGGUGAAUACGUUCCCGGGCCUUGUACACACCGCCCGUCACACCAUGAGAGUCGGGAACACCCGAAGUCCGUAGUCUAACCGCAAGGGGGGCGCGGCCGAAGGUGGGUCCGGUAAUUGGGGUGAAGUCGUAACAAGGUAAC